This 375-nucleotide ribosomal RNA is filed under the name uncultured bacterium. Its description in RNAcentral is "bacterial SSU rRNA". It matches the Rfam family "Bacterial small subunit ribosomal RNA", at positions 524 to 898 of the family's 1533-position model. The record is from RNAcentral.
UACGUAGGUGGCAAGCGUUGUCCGGAUUUACUGGGCGUAAAGGGAGCGUAGGCGGAUACUUAAGUGGGAUGUGAAAUACCUGGGCUUAACUUGGGUGCUGCAUUCCAAACUGGGUGUCUAGAGUGUUGGAGAGGAAAGUGGAAUUCCUAGUGUAGCGGUGAAAUGCGUAGAGAUCAGGAAGAACACCAGUGGCGAAGGCGACUUUCUGGACAAUAACUGACGCCGAGGCUCGAAAGCGUGGGGAGCAAACAGGAUUAGAUACCCUGGUAGUCCACGCCGUAACGAUGGGUACUAGGUGUAGGAGGUAUCGACUCCUCCUGUGCCGCCGUUAACACAAUAAGUACCCCGCCUGGGGAGUACGGUCGCAAGAUUAAA